This 417-nucleotide ribosomal RNA is filed under the name uncultured archaeon. RNAcentral describes it as "bacterial SSU rRNA". It matches the Rfam family "Archaeal small subunit ribosomal RNA", at positions 1033 to 1448 of the family's 1478-position model. The record is from RNAcentral.
UACAGGUAACGAGCAAGAUCCCUGCCUCUAGUUGCUAACCACCGUUCUCAGGAACGGAGGGGCUAAUUAGAGGGACCGCCGCCCUAAGGCGGAGGAAGGAGGGGGCUACGGCAGGUCAGUAUGCCCCGAAACCCUCGGGCCACACGCGGGCUGCAAUGGUAAGGACAGCGGGUUCCGAUCCCGAAAGGGGGAGGCAAUCCUACAAACCUUACCUCAGUUAUGAUUGAGGGCUGAAACUCGCCCUCAUGAAUAUGGAAUCCCUAGUAACCGCGUGUCAUCAUCGCGCGGUGAAUACGUCCCUGCUCCUUGCACACACCGCCCGUCGCUUCACCGAAGCUGGUUCUUGGCGAGGUGGCGCCUAAUUGGCGCUAUCGAACCUGGGGUCAGCAACGGGGGAGAAGUUGUAACAAGGUAGGC